UUACUUGGAGGGGAGACACCAGGAUCACCCAGGUGGUUUUCCCAGGGUGAGGCUCACCCCUUGCACUCUGGGUGUGCUGACACCUGCGGUUUCCCCAGAUGUGGGAAACUCGACUGCAUAAUUUGUAGAAAUGGAGGACUGUACUCAUGCUCUCCCUGG
This is a small nuclear RNA of Alligator mississippiensis (American alligator), 159 nucleotides long. It matches the Rfam family "U1 spliceosomal RNA". From Rfam's summary of the family: U1 is a small nuclear RNA (snRNA) component of the spliceosome (involved in pre-mRNA splicing). The record is from Rfam. NCBI's taxonomy places the organism in Eukaryota, Metazoa, Chordata, Crocodylia, Alligatoridae.